RNAcentral lists this long non-coding RNA (1047 nucleotides) under Monodelphis domestica (gray short-tailed opossum). RNAcentral's name for it is "lncRNA (ENSMODG00000049611.1)". Lineage: Eukaryota; Metazoa; Chordata; Mammalia; Didelphimorphia; Didelphidae. The record is from RNAcentral.
GACAGGAGGAGGAGGGGAGGGGGAGGGAGGGAAAGAUGGAGGGAAGGAGAGGUGGGGGAAGGGAAUGGGAGGAGAGGAGGGAGUGGAAGGGAGGGAGAGGAAAUUUCUAAACAGAAAGAACUAGAGAAAGAGAUGGAGGAAAAGGGGGAAGAAAGAAAUAGAGAGAGAAACAAACAAGGGAUGGAGGGAGGAAAUUUUAAGAUAGAAGAAGAAAGAGGAGAUAAAUAGAGGGAAGGAGAAAGAAAUAGAAGGGGAAGGGAGGGAGGGAGAAAAUGUUGGGAUAAAGACAAAAACAGAGAGGGGCAGGGGAAGGAAAACAAUACAGAGAGCCAAAGAGAUGGAAACACUAAAUAAAAGCUUAUUAAUAUGGAGUCCAUAAAGUUUUAUACACACAUCCACAUAUGUCUGUCCUUAGGUAUACUUAUAUAUACUAUAGGUAUUUAUAUUCAUAUUUAUGCACACACAUAUAACCAAGUUUCUGCAUGAACAACUGUAUUUCAAUUAACCUGUUUCCUUUGUAAUCCUCUGAGUUUUAUUUUUGAUAUUUAACAGGUCAGUUCUGCAGAGUCCAGGGGCUUCUCUGGUAUGUAUGGGGGCAGAGCAGGGCAAGGUGGGCAGCACACUGCAAUGUCCACUGCAGGGGAGGGGACUGACCUCAGAAUCCAGAAUCCUCAGGCUCCUGCCUGGUCUUUGAUGCUCACCAGCUACAUGCCCCACCCUUGGUAUGUAACACUAGUCUACAAUUCAUUGACAGACGUCUCAAGGGCAGAGGACCAAACCUCCCUCCCCCUUCAGAUUCCCCAGAGCAGCUCAGGAGUGGCCAGAAAGUAAAUGGAAGAUGGUUCAUAAAUACUGGGGGACUUGACUGGAUCAGAGAGCAAGAAUGACUGGUUUCUCUGGGGCUGAGUGCGGGGAUCACAGCCUUGAAGAAUCCCCACAUGUAUUGACAAUGAUUUGAACACACUCCAAACAAGGUUUCCACGAAGACAGAAAGUGCUUGCGGAGCAAACCCGUCAAUAACUACAAAGAGAGGAAUAAUUUACCAAG